Molecule: ribosomal RNA, 497 nt
Filed under: uncultured bacterium
Lineage: Bacteria
Description: partial 16S ribosomal RNA
Rfam family: Bacterial small subunit ribosomal RNA
Source: RNAcentral
GAUGAACGCUGGCGGCGUGCCUAAUACAUGCAAGUCGAGCGAACAGAUAAGGAGCUUGCUCCUUUGACGUUAGCGGCGGACGGGUGAGUAACACGUGGGUAACUUACCUAUAAGACUGGAAUAACUCCGGGAAACCGGGGCUAAUGCCGGAUAACAUGUUGAACCGCAUGGUUCUACAGUGAAAGGCGGCUUUGCUGUCACUUAUAGAUGGACCCGCGCCGUAUUAGCUAGUUGGUGAGGUGACGGCUCACCAAGGCAACGAUACGUAGCCGACCUGAGAGGGUGAUCGGCCACACUGGAACUGAGACACGGUCCAGACUCCUACGGGAGGCAGCAGUAGGGAAUCUUGCGCAAUGGGCGAAAGCCUGACGGAGCAACGCCGCGUGAGUGAUGAAGGUCUUCGGAUCGUAAAACUCUGUUAUUAGGGAAGAACAAAUGCGUAAGUAACUGUGCGCGUCUUGACGGUACCUAAUCAGAAAGCCACGGCUAACUACGUG